GAUGAACGCUGGCGGCGUGCCUAAUACAUGCAAGUCGAGCGAACAGACGAGGAGCUUGCUCCUCUGACGUUAGCGGCGGACGGGUGAGUAACAGGUAGAUAACCUGCCGAUAGGACUGGGAUAACGUAGGGAAACCGGAGCUAAUACCGGAUAAUAUGUUGAACCGCAUGGUUCAAUAGUGAAAGACGGUUUUGAUGUCACUUAUACAUGGAACCGCGCCGCAUUAGCUAGUUGGUAAGGUAACGGCUUACCAAGGCAACGAUGCGUAGCCGACCUGAGAGGGCGACCAGCCACACUGGAACUGAGACACGGCCCAGACUCCUACGGGAGGCAGCAGUAGGGAAUUUUGCACAAUGGGCGAAAGCCUGACGGAGCAAUGCCGCGUGAGUGAUGAAGGUCUUCGGAUCGUAAAACACUGUUAUCAGGGACGAAAAAAUGUGUAAGAAACUCUCCACGUCUUGACGGUACCUACUCAGAAAGCCACGGCUAACUACGUG
Molecule: ribosomal RNA, 497 nt
Filed under: uncultured bacterium
Lineage: Bacteria
Description: partial 16S ribosomal RNA
Rfam family: Bacterial small subunit ribosomal RNA
Source: RNAcentral